UCUGCCCUGGGUGAGUCGGGUCCUAAGGCGAGGCCGACAGGCGUAGUCGAUGGGUAACCAGUUGAUAUUCUGGUACCGGCUUGUCACCGUCCGUGUCGAGGUGUGUGAUGCUAAGCAUGUGAGCUUGUCUUGGGAGUGUUUUUGAUGCUUCUGGGGUGGGUGAGUGUGUGAACCGAUCAUGUAGUAGGCAAGCUGCGGAGGGACGCAGUGAGGUAGCUCAUCCCCGGUGAUGGUUGUCCGGGGCUAAGUGUGUGGACUGUCUGGUAGGUAAAUCCGCUGGGCGUGAAGGUUGAGGCAUGAUGGGGAGCCCAUGGUUGUGGGUGAGUGAGUGAUCCUGUACUGUCGAGAAAAGCUUCGUGAGCGAGGUGGCGGGUCCGCCCGUACCCUAAACCGACACUGGUGGAUAGGUAGAGUAUACCGAGGCGAUCGAGUGAAUCGUGGUGAAGGAACUCGGCAAAAUGCCCCCGUAACUUUGGGAUAAGGGGGACCUGAGCUGUCGUGCACCCGUGCGGUGUGGUGGCGGUGAGGGGCGCAGAGUCCAGGGGGAAACGACUGUUUACCAAAAACACAGGUCCGUGCGAAGUCGUAAGAC
Molecule: ribosomal RNA, 592 nt
Filed under: uncultured eukaryote
Lineage: Eukaryota
Description: partial Bacterial large subunit ribosomal RNA
Rfam family: Bacterial large subunit ribosomal RNA
Source: RNAcentral